AUUGAACGCUGGCGGCAUGCUUUACACAUGCAAGUCGGACGGUAACAGGCCGCAAGGUGCUGACGAGUGGCGAACGGGUGAGUAAUGCAUCGGAACGUGCCCAGUCGUGGGGGAUAACGCAGCGAAAGCUGCGCUAAUACCGCAUACGAUCUAUGGAUGAAAGCGGGGGACCGUAAGGCCUCGCGCGAUUGGAGCGGCCGAUGUCAGAUUAGGUAGUUGGUGGGGUAAAGGCUCACCAAGCCAACGAUCUGUAGCUGGUCUGAGAGGACGACCAGCCACACUGGGACUGGGACACGGCCCAGACUCCUACGGGAGGCAGCAGUGGGGAAUUUUGAACAAUGGGCGCAAGCCUGAUCCAGCAAUGCCGCGUGCAGGAAGAAGGCCUUCGGGUUGUAAACUGCUUUUGUACGGAACGAAACGGUCCUGGUUAAUACCUGGGGAGGAUGACGGUACCUGAAGAAUAAGCACCGGCUAACUACGUGCCAGCAGCCGCCGUAA
This 498-nucleotide ribosomal RNA is filed under the name uncultured bacterium. RNAcentral describes it as "partial 16S ribosomal RNA". It matches the Rfam family "Bacterial small subunit ribosomal RNA", at positions 29 to 523 of the family's 1533-position model. The record is from RNAcentral.